GACGAACCGUGCGAACGUUGUUCGGAAUCACUGGGCUUAAAGGGCGCGUAGGCGGCUCGCGAGGUCGGGGGUGAAAUCCCACAGCUUAACUGUGGAAGUGCCUUCGAUACCGGCGGGCUCGAGGAAGGUAGGGGUGCGCGGAACUUCUGGUGGAGCGGUGAAAUGCGUUGAUAUCAGAAGGAACGCCGGCGGCGAAAGCGGCGCACUGGACCUUUUCUGACGCUGAGGCGCGAAAGCCAGGGGAGCAAACAGG
RNAcentral lists this ribosomal RNA (253 nucleotides) under uncultured bacterium. RNAcentral's name for it is "partial 16S ribosomal RNA". It matches the Rfam family "Bacterial small subunit ribosomal RNA", at positions 524 to 776 of the family's 1533-position model. The record is from RNAcentral.